This 341-nucleotide ribosomal RNA is filed under the name Nematoda environmental sample. RNAcentral describes it as "bacterial SSU rRNA". It matches the Rfam family "Eukaryotic small subunit ribosomal RNA", at positions 1300 to 1665 of the family's 1831-position model. The record is from RNAcentral. Lineage: Eukaryota; Metazoa; Nematoda.
CGUGGAGCGAUUUGUCUGGUUUAUUCCGAUAACGAGCGAGACUCUAGCCUACUAAAUAGUUGACACAUUACAUUGUGUGUCCUAACUUCUUAGAGGGAUUUACGGCGUAUAGCCGCAAGAGAAUGAGCAAUAACAGGUCUGUGAUGCCCUUAGAUGUCCAGGGCUGCACGCGCGCUACACUGGAGGAAUCAGCGUGCUGUAACCAUUGCCGAAAGGUAUUGGUAACCCCUUGAAAAUCCUCCGUGAUCGGGAUCGGGAAUUGCAAUUAUUUCCCUUGAACGAGGAAUUCCUAGUAAGUGUGAGUCAUCAGCUCACGUUGAAUACGUCCCUGCCCUUUGUAC